AUAUUAUUAUAUUUAAAUAUGUCGGAUUUUAUAUCCACUCCUGGGCUGACUUUGCCCUUUUUCCUUCUGGAUCUUGAUAAAAUAAGUACCAGUCAAAUACUGGGGUUGAUUUUAAUCGACUAUCCCUAAAUCCUACAAUUUCGGGCUUUGUGGCUAUAUUGGAAAUCAAU
Long non-coding RNA from Octopus sinensis (East Asian common octopus), 170 nucleotides. RefSeq lists it as uncharacterized. The transcript is spliced from 4 exons. NCBI's taxonomy places the organism in Eukaryota, Metazoa, Mollusca, Cephalopoda, Octopoda, Octopodidae. The record is from RefSeq and is a predicted model, not a curated record.